GUGGAAGGUGGGGGGAGAUCCCUACUCAUGUCUCUUCCACAAGAUCUCAAACAGCUGGCUGAUACACUAUCACACACAAGCACUGGCUGCUUAGGUUUGAGGAGCACAGAUCCUUCCAUAAGUGGUGUGAACCUGUGGCUCUGUAGCCAGGGGCUGUCAGGCUGGUUGUGUCAAUGUGGAGUUGCAAUUGCUGGGCACCAUGCUGAGACAUACAUCUUCGGGGGAAUGAAGUUAUUGUAUUUGCAUUUGCUAAUGUCUGCUGGCUCAUCCGGUGGGUCCAGCCUGUAUCAGGGUAAAAAUGAACCAGCGACAAAGGCACAAUUCACUUCAAACAUUGGAAAGAAGAACAAACGUGAUGUGUUUGCAAAGAGAAGAAGGAGAGGAAAUGAACCCCUACUCUUUCUGCUUGUUGUAUCAGGAGCAGCAUUGGUUCAAGGGCAAUUUUACCUGAGAUACCCAAAGUUCAGUGUAAAACCAUGAUGUGGUUAUGCAUCAAGCAGGGAGUCCCAAACCAAAACUGGGCCACCUUUUAGCAGGAUGAAUAAUGCUAUGCUCUCUUAGCUGAACUGCUCCUAUUGCUCCCAGGUGAAGUUGUUUAAGGCUUAACUCGAGAUUUCACAGCAGUGUAAACAUAUCACCAAAUACAGUUACUGCAAGAAUCAAUAUGAUUUAGUUCAU
Molecule: non-coding RNA, 678 nt
Organism: Anas platyrhynchos (mallard)
Lineage: Eukaryota; Metazoa; Chordata; Aves; Anseriformes; Anatidae
Source: RefSeq, a predicted model, not a curated record